GAUGAAGAACGCAGCGAAAUGCGAUAAGUAAUGUGAAUUGCAGAAUUCAGUGAAUCAUCGAGUCUUUGAACGCACAUUGCGCCCCCUGGUAUUCCGGGGGGCAUGCCUGUCCGAGCGUCAUUGCCGCCCUCAAGCACGGCUUGUGUGUUGGGCCCCCGCCCCCCGGCUUCGGGGGGCGGGCCCGAAAGGCAGCGGCGGCACCGCGUCCGGUCCUCGAGCGUAUGGGGCUUCGUCACCCGCUCUGUAGGCCCGGCCGGCGCCCGCCGGCGACCCCAAUCAAUCUUUCCAGGUUGACCUCGGAUCAGGUAGGGAUACCCGCUGAACUUAAGCAUAUUAAUAGCGGAGGA
This 347-nucleotide unclassified non-coding RNA is filed under the name soil metagenome. RNAcentral's name for it is "partial contains 5.8S ribosomal RNA, internal transcribed spacer 2, and large subunit ribosomal RNA". The stretch from base 1 to 120 matches the Rfam family "5.8S ribosomal RNA", at positions 35 to 154 of the family's 154-position model. The record is from RNAcentral.